UGGCACAAAUGUUAGUGAGCUGGAAAAUUCCAUUUCCAGCUUUUGUAGUCCACAGCUGGAAAGUGAAUUUUGAAUUUUUCCAACCUUUUGUGCAUUUUACGUGUCAGAAGAAAAGUGUUCAGGCUGAAUGAACAGAUCUGAAUGUGUGGAGCUGAUGCACGUGAAUAUAAUAUAAUAUUAUAUUUAUAUUAUAUUAUGUCAACAUAUAUGACUCAAACAAUCCAGGUCCGUUGUUCUGAGUCCAGCUCCACGUUUUCCUCCUCACAGACAAACUUCAGGUCACGUGACCUCGAACCACGAAACAAGGUAAAUCUCAGCCGAAGCGUCGUGCACCUGAUGAGGAGGAGGAGGAAGAGGAGGAGGAAGGAAGAAGGAGGAGGAGGAGGAAGAGGAGGAGGAGGAGGAGGAGGAGGAGGAGGAGGAGGAGGAGGAGGAGGAGGAAGAAGAGGAGGAGGAGGAGGAGGAGGAGGAGGAGGAGGAGGAGGAGGAGGAAGAGGAGGAGGAGGAAGAGGAGGAGGAGGAGGAGGAGGAGGAGGAGGAGGAGGAGGAGGAGGAGGAGGAGGAGGAGGAGGAGGAGGAGGAGGAGGAGGAGGAGGAGGAAGGAGGAGGAGGAGGAAGAGGAGGAGGAGUUUACUUCACCUUCCUCCAUCACACCGUCGCUCUCUCAGGUGUUUUCGCUCCGUUUCCCCGCAGGGUCCCGAGGAGCUGAAAGUGGGCGGAGUCACGAGCAGACCCUGGUGCGAGGAUCGUGGGUGGAGACGGCGAGACUCGGGCGGCAGGAGCCUCCUUCACGGCCGCCCCGGGUCUCAAUGAGAGUGUCAGGGCUGAAGAAUGCCUCGCCCGCCUCCUCCCUCCUGCUCCGCUCGCCGGGAUUCAGCCCGCGUCCAGCCGUCUGACAGCUUCCCCGCCGACAUGGCCCGGCGACUGAAGGGACCACACACGCUCCGUGUUCGCCAUGCCGGGCUGAUUCUUCUCCUUGGCUUUUGGGUUGAGGGUGAGACUAUUUGCAGCCACAGGUCUUUUCUCUCUCCGGCAGCUUUUUACCCUCGAGGACUUCCAAACAAAUUUCAAGCGUGAGUGUGGAAGCUGUCGAGUGUUUGUCGGACAAUGGCAGUGCCCCGGUUUUUGGGGUCUCGCGGAUUGGAAGCUGCGCAACACUCGUAUCUGUCUGCGAGGCCGCAGCGCAGUAAGUGCUCACAUUGUCCACAGGUUAGUUUGUGACGUGUGAUAUUUCAUCAAGCUGCUCCUCCAGAACUGCAAAUAAUGUUCUGCCAUUGACUUCCAAUGAACAUAUUGACAGUGAGCUCACGAGAUGAAAAUAAUUCUCAUAAAUAGGCCUUUUUCUCAUCAAGAUCCACGAGUGUUAAAUGUUAAAAUAGAUUUAAUGGAUAACGGGUUCUUUCUUGGUCCAUGUUCCAUCCUUCCGCCAAGUUUACUGGAAAUCUGCAGACAAACAAACAGACGGAGUGAAAACUUCACCUGAGGCCGACACCACGGUGAGAAUGAGGUCGUACAUCGGUUCACCGCUUGCACAUGCGUAUCAUCACGCCCCCCCAUGAAUUACAACGAGGACGUAACUCGACGUAAUCUCAUGUAUUUGUUUAUGUAUGUAUAUUUCAUAACGUAUCAAAAUGAAGAAUAUAUUCGGUUUUAAAAAUAAACAAUCGCUUCAUCUUUAUGGCCUCAACGUAUGUACUGUACCGCUCUUUUUUCUAUUUUCCGCCACCGUCAGAGGAAACGGAAUUAUGAAUCUCCUGAACAACCAAUCACGUUGCGACCUCUCAUCCCCAACCAGAGCUCCAUGACUCUGGUUGUGACUCUCCAUUCUGUUUGUGUUUUUAAUCAGGAA
Long non-coding RNA from Scophthalmus maximus (turbot), 1849 nucleotides. The record is from Ensembl. Lineage: Eukaryota; Metazoa; Chordata; Actinopteri; Pleuronectiformes; Scophthalmidae.